CAGGAUGAUUAAUGGAGAAGGGACGGGACCCGAAAGAAACUUUGUACCCACUGAUAAAAUUCCUCUCAGAGGCCCCGUGUACAAGCACACCCAGGUCUCGUUACACCUCCCUUUUUUCAAAUCUGAUACUAUUCAGGUAGCGAACACUCUGGGAUCAUGGCUGCCUCCGAAUUACAUCAAAACAAUAGCAAGGUUUCCAAGGAAUAAAGCCACAUUAAAAUAAAAGCAUGUGGAGGUGCAUUUGUGCAAAUGAAAAGCCCCUUGCAUCAGCGGGAGUAAGUAUUUUUGUAAUUUCCUGUUGUUGCAUUGCAUUUACAAAAUUUGGAUUUGUAUUCAUGAUAUAUUUUGGAAUUUUGCUUUUCCUUGUAUAAAAUAAUGUGUGGACUACAAUCACUUGCUUAUAGAAGAGUGGGAAGAGAUAAGUAACUGGGAAAAUCUCCGUUAUAAGAACGUGAAGCGGAACUAUGAAGCCAUGCUCGUCAUUGGUUUGGAGAAAAUAUUCUUCACAUUUUUUCCUCUUUGCCCUUUUCACGUGAUGCACGCUGACAUGAGUUUUCUUCCCACAUGAAAUGUAAGUAGGUUUGUGCUUUCUGACACCAUAUGGGUCAGGUCCGAACAUUUCACUCCACUGGUUUACUUUGAGAAUAUGCCUGAGGAUAUUGGACAUUCCUGUUCUUUGAUAACAUAACUUCUAUUGGCUUCUGCUCUGUCUUCACCUCCCUGUAAUUAACACAACAGCAUCUUCUGUGUCUCCUUCUCGGGACAGCAUAUUUAAGAUUGGAUUUUGGCUGUGGCUGGGAACAUCUCCUGCCUUUCAACUGACUUUACUGAUCACUUCACAUUCUGUCUUCACGUGAUGAGUGUUAACCACUGUUGCCCACUUCACCUUUGCCUCUGUGUUCGAGGUUUGUGAACUGUGCCAGAUAGGAGGAGAAACAGGACCUUGUUGCCUUCCAGCACCGGGGAAACAUUGACUGUCAUCCCUGCCCUCACUGCACUGUUGCAUUUACCACAGCGGAGUUCCUUAUACAACACUUAAGAAGGCAUCAUGAAGCUUCCAGACCAACGUCAGCUGGACAGCCUUCUGCCUCCGGUGUGAACCCAGAUUCACAAUGUAAACGAGGGCAGAGUCCGUUCACUCCAUCUGACGGAAGGAGUGGAAUUGGGAAAUCAGGUGAUCUUCAAGCACGGACAAAGGAGAGAUGGCAUGAAUGUGCAGAAUGUGGGAAGAGCUUCACAUGAGCAGGGACCCUCCACCAACACCAACGGACCCACACCGGACGGAGAGAGGCCGUGUAAAUGUUCACACUGUGGGAAGAGCUUCACAUGAGCAGGGACCCUCCACCUACACCAGCGGACCCACACCGGAGAGAGGCCGUACAAAAGCACAGUCUGGAAGAAGAGUUUCAGAGUCCAGCUCCCUCCAUCGACACCAGAGGACCCACGGGGUCAAGGAAAGAGCAUUCACGUCGCGGCCCUGUUUUCACCAAUCUUUCCACCACCACGCAUAAGAAGCACAAGACAGACGCCAUUGUAUGCAGAUGCCAAGACGUGUGUCCAGCACUGGCUGAACAAGUUCUAAUCUUGUGUGUGGACUCGAUAAGAAGAACCACCCACACGGGAUAGAGGCUGUAGGAAGUUUCACAGACUGCAUGAAUGUGCAGAAUAUGGGAAGAGCUUCACAUGAGCAAGGACCCUUCACCUACACCAGCAGACCCACACCAGAGAGAGGUAGUGUAAAUGUUCACACUGUGGGAAGAGCUCCACAUACUGAGGGGCGUCCAGAAACACCAGCGGACCCACACUGGUUCUCAGAGUUCAUUAUAACUCACAAAUCUGGUACCCUUGGGAGUUUGGUGCUGGAUGGCAGAUUUUCCAGGCUAUUGCAUGUUUUAUUAUUAGUCCACCUACAUUGUUUAGUUUAGUUUAGAGAGCCCAUCGAGUCUGCACUGACCAGCGAUCCCCACAUAUUAACAUUAUCCUACACACAC
Long non-coding RNA from Leucoraja erinaceus (little skate), 1991 nucleotides. RefSeq lists it as uncharacterized. The record is from RefSeq and is a predicted model, not a curated record. The transcript has 3 exons. Lineage: Eukaryota; Metazoa; Chordata; Chondrichthyes; Rajiformes; Rajidae.